Molecule: long non-coding RNA, 354 nt
Organism: Fundulus heteroclitus (mummichog)
Lineage: Eukaryota; Metazoa; Chordata; Actinopteri; Cyprinodontiformes; Fundulidae
Exons: 3
Source: RefSeq, a predicted model, not a curated record
GGUCUAACUUCAGUCAUGUGAUUCAGCCGAUGACCAAGAAGCUUGCUUCGACAACAAACAUUAUCGUGUUGUACUGUAUGUCGGAUGCCCUCUUCUCGAAUCGUCGGUUUUCAUUCCUCUUAGCUAACAUGCAUGUGAAGUUUUGAGGUAAAAUAACGGCCAAACAUAACGCUGUUUAUAAACACAAUGGCGGAAGUGGAGGAGCAGGAAAGGAAGCAGAGUGGGGAAUUCACAGAUGAAUCUGAGGAGGAGGACAGCGAGGAGGAGCCCAAGCUGAAGUACGAGAGGCUCUCCAACGGGGUGACUGAAAUCCUCCAGAACGACGCAGCCAGCUGUAUGACCGUCCACGACAAG